This 650-nucleotide ribosomal RNA is filed under the name uncultured Glomus. Its description in RNAcentral is "SSU rRNA". It matches the Rfam family "Eukaryotic small subunit ribosomal RNA", at positions 624 to 1276 of the family's 1831-position model. Lineage: Eukaryota; Fungi; Glomeromycota; Glomeromycetes; Glomerales; Glomeraceae. The record is from RNAcentral.
AAGCUCGUAGUUGAAUUUCGGGAUCAAAUUGUCGGUCGUGCCUCGGUACGUACUGGCGUUAUUGGUUCCUCCCUUCUGAAGAACCGCGAUGUCAUUAAUUUGGUGUCGCGGGGAAUCAGGACUGUUACUUUGAAAAAAUUAGAGUGUUUAAAGCAGGCUCGCGCUUGAAUACAUUAGCAUGGAAUAGUGAAAUAGGACGUUUGAUUCUAUUUUGUUGGUUUCUAGGAUCGACGUAAUGAUUAAUAGGGAUAGUUGGGGGCAUUAGUAUUCAAUUGUCAGAGGUGAAAUUCUUGGAUUUAUUGAAGACUAACUACUGCGAAAGCAUUUGCCAAGGAUGUUUUCGUUAAUCAAGAACGAAAGUUAGGGGAUCGAAGACGAUCAGAUACCGUCGUAGUCUUAACCAUAAACUAUGCCGACUAGGGAUCGGAUGAUGUUAAUUUUUUAAUGACUCAUUCGGCGCCUUACGGGAAACCAAAGUGUUUGGGUUCCGGGGGGAGUAUGGUCGCAAGGCUGAAACUUAAAGGAAUUGACGGAAGGGCACCACCAGGGGUGGAGCCUGCGGCUUAAUUUGACUCAACACGGGGAAACUCACCAGGUCCAGACAUAGUAAGGAUUGACAGAUUGAGAGCUCUUUCUUGAUUCUAUGGGUG